AUUGGCUGAGCUUUCCCUUCCUCUUUCCUCUGAGCCUCCACUGGGAGAAUACUCCAUCCGGGUGAAAGACACAGUCCAUGCAUUCACUGUGGAGGAAUAUGUUCUUCCAAAGUUUGAAGUUUCCCUUCAGUUCCCUAAGGUUGUUAUGUUUGACAGUGACCAGUUCCCACUUCAUGUAUGUGCAAGAUACACUUAUGGGAAGCCAG
Long non-coding RNA from Nanorana parkeri, 206 nucleotides. RefSeq lists it as uncharacterized. The record is from RefSeq and is a predicted model, not a curated record. NCBI's taxonomy places the organism in Eukaryota, Metazoa, Chordata, Amphibia, Anura, Dicroglossidae. The transcript has 3 exons.